GACGAACGCUGGCGGCGUGCCUAAUACAUGCAAGUUGAGCGCUGAAGGUUGGUACUUGUACCAACUGGAUGAGCAGCGAACGGGUGAGUAACGCGUGGGGAAUCUGCCUUUGAGCGGGGGACAACAUUUGGAAACGAAUGCUAAUACCGCAUAAAAACUUUAAACACAAGUUUUAAGUUUGAAAGAUGCAAUUGCAUCACUCAAAGAUGAUCCCGCGUUGUAUUAGCUAGUUGGUGAGGUAAAGGCUCACCAAGGCGAUGAUACAUAGCCGACCUGAGAGGGUGAUCGGCCACAUUGGGACUGGGACACGGCCCAAACUCCUACGGGAAGCAGCAGUAGGGGAUCUUCGGCAAUGGACGAAAGUCUGACCGAGCAACGCCGCGUGAGUGAAGAAGGUUUUCGGAUCGUAAAACUCUGUUGGUAGAGAAGAACGUUGGUGAGAGUGGAAAGCUCAUCAAGUGACGGUAACUACCCAGAAAGGGACGGCUAACUACGUG
This 497-nucleotide ribosomal RNA is filed under the name uncultured bacterium. Its description in RNAcentral is "partial 16S ribosomal RNA". It matches the Rfam family "Bacterial small subunit ribosomal RNA", at positions 28 to 507 of the family's 1533-position model. The record is from RNAcentral.